GUGGCAGCAGCCUUGGUCCUCCUGUUUCUGAUGCUGUCUGUACUGCUGUUACUGUGGAGGUACUGGGGGAUCCUGAAACAAAUGAUAAGCAGUGACCAUCGACCGAGUGAGAAUCAGGAUACGGAUCAAACCUACAGUCUAAU
Long non-coding RNA from Coregonus clupeaformis (lake whitefish), 143 nucleotides. RefSeq lists it as uncharacterized. The transcript has 3 exons. The record is from RefSeq and is a predicted model, not a curated record. NCBI's taxonomy places the organism in Eukaryota, Metazoa, Chordata, Actinopteri, Salmoniformes, Salmonidae.